This 496-nucleotide ribosomal RNA is filed under the name uncultured bacterium. RNAcentral's name for it is "partial 16S ribosomal RNA". It matches the Rfam family "Bacterial small subunit ribosomal RNA", at positions 28 to 506 of the family's 1533-position model. The record is from RNAcentral.
GAUGAACGCUGGCGGCGUGCCUAAUACAUGCAAGUCGAGCGAACAGACGAGGAGCUUGCUCCUCUGACGUUAGCGGCGGACGGGUGAGUAACACGUGGAUAACCUACCUAUAAGACUGGGAUAACUUCGGGAAACCGGAGCUAAUACCGGAUAAUAUAUUGAACCGCAUGGUUCAAUAGUGAAGGACGGUUUUGCUGUCACUUAUAGAUGGAUCCGCGCCGCAUUAGCUAGUUGGUAAGGUAACGGCUUACCAAGGCAACGAUGCGUAGCCGACCUGAGAGGGUGAUCGGCCACACUGGAACUGAGACACGGUCCAGACUCCUACGGGAGGCAGCAGUAGGGAAUCUGCCGCAAUGGGCGAAAGCUUGACGGAGCAACGCCGCGUGAGUGAUGAAGGUCUGCGGAUCGUAAAACUCUGUUAUUAGGGAAGAACAAAUGUGUAAGUAACUAUGCACGUCUGGACGGUACCUAAUCAGAAAGCCACGGCUAACUACGU